GAUGAACGCUGGCGGCGUGCCUAAUACAUGCAAGUAGAACGCUGAAGGAGGAGCUUGCUCUUCUGGAUGAGUUGCGAACGGGUGAGUAACGCGUAGGUAACCUGCCUGGUAGCGGGGGAUAACUAUUGGAAACGAUAGCUAAUACCGCAUGACAACAGUUAUUGCAUGAUAACUGUUUGAAAGGGGCAACUGCUCCACUACCAGAUGGACCUGCGUUGUAUUAGCUAGUUGGUGAGGUAACGGCUCACCAAGGCGACGAUACAUAGCCGACCUGAGAGGGUGAUCGGCCACACUGGGACUGAGACACGGCCCAGACUCCUACGGGAGGCAGCAGUAGGGAAUCUUCGGCAAUGGACGGAAGGCUGACCGAGCAACGCCGCGUGAGUGAAGAAGGUUUUCGGAUCGUAAAGCUCUGUUGUAAGAGAAGAACGAGUGUGAGGGUGGAAAGUUCACACUGUGACGGUAUCUUACCAGAAAGGGACGGCUAACUACGUG
This 495-nucleotide ribosomal RNA is filed under the name uncultured bacterium. RNAcentral describes it as "partial 16S ribosomal RNA". It matches the Rfam family "Bacterial small subunit ribosomal RNA", at positions 28 to 507 of the family's 1533-position model. The record is from RNAcentral.